CCCUAAUCCCUGGGGGCCAUUGAAGGAGCGUUUACGUCGCGGUCCCUGUCAGGUGUUUUUGCACCUGCGAAUCCUUCA
RNAcentral lists this ribozyme (78 nucleotides) under Hippocampus comes (tiger tail seahorse). RNAcentral describes it as "Mammalian CPEB3 ribozyme (ENSHCOG00000006851.1)". It matches the Rfam family "Mammalian CPEB3 ribozyme". From Rfam's summary of the family: The mammalian CPEB3 ribozyme is a self cleaving RNA located in the second intron of the CPEB3 gene which belongs to a family of genes regulating messenger RNA polyadenylation. This ribozyme is highly conserved and found only in mammals. The record is from RNAcentral. Lineage: Eukaryota; Metazoa; Chordata; Actinopteri; Syngnathiformes; Syngnathidae.